Scleropages formosus (Asian bonytongue) is the source of this 648-nucleotide long non-coding RNA. RefSeq lists it as uncharacterized. Lineage: Eukaryota; Metazoa; Chordata; Actinopteri; Osteoglossiformes; Osteoglossidae. The transcript is spliced from 3 exons. The record is from RefSeq and is a predicted model, not a curated record.
UUCUGUGUUGACUGAAGCAUCAGCAAAGUCCUGUGCAAAACCUCAAGAAUGUACCUCUGGUUCCAUCAAUUUUGGAGUCACCAGGACAGCAGUGAACACUGAGUGCUGUAACACUGGCCUUUGCAACUCUCAAAACACUCCUGCAUGGUCAAAAAAUGCCCCAAAUGGAAAGCGGUGCUUCACCUGUAAUGGCAAUGACUGCACAUCAAUUCUUAACUGUGUUGGAGAUGAAAAUAGUUGCCUCAAGACCACUGUUUCUGCACAGGGUGGGGUGGUGACCAUGAAAGGCUGUGUGUCCUCAAAUAUUUGUGCUGCUGCCGGUGACUUGUCAGCACAACUUGGCCUAGGCGUUGGUGUCAGCAUGAACUGCUGUGAAGGAAACCUGUGCAAUGAUGCUCGGCGCACCAUGCAGAGCAUCCUCCUCCUGCUAGUGCCUCUGGUCUCUACUGUCCUCAUCCAGUGACAGUGUUUCCACUGAAAUCUGGUCACUGGUAUUUUUCCAUACACAUAACGCAUACAAAUCUCCUAUGUUCAACACUGUUACAAAGUACAGGUCAUGUCAUUGCAAAACAGCUUUGAAUUUCUAUAUAUUCUUAUAUUUUAUUUGGUCUAUAUGGGAAAAUUCUACUUUUUUUGUAGCUGUCACAA